UUUCUUACGACACAUUGAUUUUCUUUUUUUCUUAUAGCUGUAGAAGAAAUGAGGUUUUUUGUUUUACAUCUUUUUUCAAACUGUCGAUCAUAUUGUUCAUAUUCUAGUUAAAAUGCACAGUUUUUCUACUUCUUAGUGUCGAUGGUUGAGAUGGGAAGCAUUGCAUUUACUUGGCUGUAAGGAUUUUUUGGUUUCUUUCUCGAUUUUUCCGUAGAUUUUUAAAUAUAUGUAUGUGAUUUUUAUAUUACCAAGUCGAGUGUUUCAAUCAGGCCACGGAUUUCUUAGGACAGUUUUUUGCUUGAUAAAUAGAGUUGUUCUUUAAGAUGCCUUCUAGUUUUCUGAUCAGAGUGUUUUGUUGAGUUGAGGUUUGGAGGAAAGGCCAUAUUCUUGUUUAUGAACACCUCAGGUGUUCUUUGACCUUUUGAAAAGACAUGUCUGCUUUCUUUAAUGUCUUCGAAUCUGCCUGUGUCUUGGUUUGGAGGAAAGGCCUAAUUUAGAGUGAAACUAAUUUAUCUGAUUGAUCAUUUGUGUAUGAUAUCAAACAUCAUGGUAAAGUUAGCAUAUAAACUGCGUCUUUUAAAAUCAUAUAAAUUUCUUAGUUUUUAAUUUGACUAGCAUUUUGUAUCUCCUGUUUAUUCUUAUGUAGGAUUUUUGAAUUUUGUCUAAGGCUCUAAGCUUGCUAAUGCUUGACAUUGGAGUGUGUACAAGUUAUGUUAUCUCUGUUUCAUUGAUCUCGAUCUCUUCUGAGCCCUAUGCUCUGCUACCGUAUGAUGGAUUCAAUGCAGUUGCUUCUGUAACAGCUGGUAGAUUAUCUCAUUAGAUAAAAAAGUUAGGAGCUUGCUUGAUUCAUGAAAGAACCUGUGCCCCACUUUCUGAAAUGUGUGUUGGAACACUUUAAAUAGCUCCUAAAAAGUUCCUAACAUUGUUGUUCCUCUUUACUCUAAUGAUCUGGGUUCUACAAAACACAAAACAUGCAUAUUAAUCAACAUGUAAACAAAAAAUCAACAUGCAGUACUUGUUGAUAGAAAAUAGACUUGAAGAAGUAGAUUGAGGCAAUGAUCAAUCAUCUGGUCUUAAAACAAUUUAUUGUUUGCUCUUUAGUGCUAGUAAUGUGAUUGCAUUAUUGUUUCUUGGGCUUACUUGAUCUCAUAUUCUUGGCAGCAUAACCAAGAAUAAACAGCGAAUCAAAAUUUAUAUGUUACUUUCUGGAAGAAUUUUGAUAGAAGGAAUACAAAAGAGAGUUUUAGAAAGACUUGAAGUUUUCUCAUUAUUAAAACCAUGUCAUAAUUGUCUCUUUUUACAGGCAAUUUUGACAGUUAAAAACGUAACUUUUAAAACAAAAGGAUACAACUUUCUAGUUUAAAAGGACACAACUCUAUUUAAAGUAGAGUUUAACAAUCUGAUCUUUGAAUAAGUAGAAUCGGUCUUGCUCUACACUUUAUAUUAUCGCUUUUUGUUUCUUGUGAAACCAAAAUUUGUCGACGAGUUAUAGCUUUUUCCGCCACAUUUUUUCUUGUUGCUGAUUGUAGUUUUGUUUUAAUAUUAAAUACCUAGGUAUGUUAUAAUGAUGAUUUUUUGACAAGGAUGAUACUGUGAUGGAGUCAAGGUUGAUUUGUUUGUUGCUUGUUGUUGAAUGAUUGUCGAUCAUUUUAACAUUCUAAAAUGGUUUUGAUAGUAUGGAAUAUGUUGGGACAAUUCCAAACUCACCUCGAUUGUUAUGUAUAGUCUUACUCCAAGAUGCAUGUUGUUCUGAUUUCUUGAAUAUGGAUGAAGAUAAGUCCUUGUAGAAGCCCACAGCUGAUAUGUAUGGUUAGUUUUGUCCACAUGAACGGAUACAAGCUUUGGCCACAGUGCUAGCUAGUUUGCAUUGAAGGGCAUAUAUAUGGGUCUUCUGAUUACUACAUUUCAAGAGCAUAACUGCAUGAAGAUCUGAAGUUUGGGUUAACCCUUGCCUGCUGCUGUAGAAGCUUUGCUUCUAAUUUAGUGAUCGCCUCAUGACUAUCAUUUUAAGUUGCUUUUUAAUAGCCCUCACAUGAACUGGAUUGUCUUGAAGCAUCCUUUCUAUGGUAAUUGUUCCUUCCUGAAAUCAACCUGCUAUCUGUCAUAUAAGUACUAAAAUUUGAUCUGUUGAGCACUUGAGAGUCAGAUGGCCUAAGGACAUUUACUGAAGUGGAGAUCUGUGUGAGUUGCGAAUAUUUAUAUUAAUUUCCUUGCCUUCUUUUCAGUUGGUUGACGAGGCACCAUGUGGUUUUGGUGCAUUGUUGGGCAUUCUCCGAUGUAAGCGUCUUUCAGGAUGCUGCUAUGUCUAUACAGGAUUGCAAGGGAAUGCUUUAUUUGUUGUGUACUAUGAUGUUAUGCCUAAUGAAAUCCUUGGCAGAAAAAGGAAAUCAAUAUAAUUGAAACAGCGAGGAUCAUGAAUUAAUCUAGAUUUAGGACGUCCACGUUAAGUGUGUAGCAAUUUUAUGGAUCACUUGAUUGUUGUGAUUGAUAUGUGCAUACUGCAUAGGCUAUUCAUCUGCAUAUCCAAUUGAUAUUACGGAACUUGAGGGACAAAGUUGUUGUACAUGGAUCAUGUUGCUGGCUUAAUCUUAUGAUUUACUAGGAAACAUUAAGGUGGAACUUUCCUCUGGUGUAUGAUCUGGUCUUACUGGUUGGAAGAUCUCACUCCUUAUUUGUAGGUUGGUGCGCAUGUAUCAGAUGGUGUAGUGAUAUAAGCAACUGUUGAUCAAUGUCCUCGGGCGUGCCAGAUCGAGGUCUUUGCAUGCUGGAAGUUUGGGUACUAGUCACACCCUAGCAUCAAAGCAUAUAUUUGAGGGGUGUUUUAAAUUUAGUUGCAUGUAGUUUAUAUCUAGCUACAGACACCUGUGUCUGUACGAAGCUCUUACAGGACAUAGCAUUUGAGCCCAAAUGGAUUGAAGUAUUCUAAACUUCAUCGGAAUAAGAUACUCUAGUUUCAGUGAUCUUGUUUUGUUCCGAGUUUUAUUUCAAUACAUGAUGAUGGCGGCGCUGAGGUAGAGCUUGGAUAUGCACAAUUCACAACAAUAACAUAAGAAAUAUUGCUCGAAUGAUU
Molecule: long non-coding RNA, 3070 nt
Organism: Populus euphratica (Euphrates poplar)
Lineage: Eukaryota; Viridiplantae; Streptophyta; Magnoliopsida; Malpighiales; Salicaceae
Exons: 2
Source: RefSeq, a predicted model, not a curated record